GGUCAGGAUGCUUGGUUUAUACUAGGUUUUGUGCGGUUGAGAGUGAUAGGCAAGGGGACUGAAAAUCCCCGUGUCGGUGGUUCGAUUCCACCCCUGGCCACCA
This 103-nucleotide transfer RNA is filed under the name Gammaproteobacteria bacterium. RNAcentral's name for it is "tRNA-Phe". It matches the Rfam family "tRNA". Rfam says of the family: Transfer RNA (tRNA) molecules are approximately 80 nucleotides in length. Their secondary structure includes four short double-helical elements and three loops (D, anti-codon, and T loops). The record is from RNAcentral. Lineage: Bacteria; Pseudomonadati; Pseudomonadota; Gammaproteobacteria.